GAUGAACGCUGGCGGCGUGCCUAAUACAUGCAAGUCGAGCGAACAGACGAGGAGCUUGCUCCUCUGACGUUAGCGGCGGACGGGUGAGUAACACGUGGAUAACCUACCUAUAAGACUGGGAUAACUUCGGGAAACCGGAGCUAAUACCGGAUAAUAUAUUGAACCGCAUGGUUCAAUAGUGAAAGACGGUUUUGCUGUCCCUUAUAGAUGGAUCCGCGCCGCAUUAGCUAGUUGGUAAGGUAACGGCUUACCAAGGCAACGAUGCGUAGCCGACCUGAGAGGGUGAUCGGCCACACUGGAACUGAGACACGGUCCAGACUCCUACGAGAGGCAGCAGUAGGGAAUCUUCCGCAAUGGGCGAAAGCCUGACGGAGCAACGCCGCGUGAGUGAUGAAGGUCUUCGGAUCGUAAAACUCUGUUAUUAGGGAAGAACAAAUGUGUAAGUAACUAUGCACGGCUUGACGGUACCUAAUCAGAAAGCCACGGCUAACUACGUG
Molecule: ribosomal RNA, 497 nt
Filed under: uncultured bacterium
Lineage: Bacteria
Description: partial 16S ribosomal RNA
Rfam family: Bacterial small subunit ribosomal RNA
Source: RNAcentral